CCUACGGGACGCAGCAGUGAGGAAUAUUGGUCAAUGGGAGAGAUCCUGAACCAGCCAAGCCGCGUGAGGGAAGACGGCCCUAUGGGUUGUAAACCUCUUUUGUCGGAGAACAAAACCCGGGACGUGUCCCGGACUGCGUGUAUCCGAAGAAAAAGCAUCGGCUAACUCCGCGCCAGCAGCCGCGGUAAUACGUAGGGGGCGAGCGUUGUCCGGAAUCACUGGGCGUAAAGGGCGCGUAGGCGGUUUAAUAAGUCAGUGGUGAAAACUGAGGGCUCAACCCUCAGCCUGCCACUGAUACUGUUAGA
This 305-nucleotide ribosomal RNA is filed under the name uncultured bacterium. RNAcentral's name for it is "bacterial SSU rRNA". It matches the Rfam family "Bacterial small subunit ribosomal RNA", at positions 338 to 640 of the family's 1533-position model. The record is from RNAcentral.